CCACCUGGGCGAGAGACAUGGCCACGCAGGAGGAGACGGAGAGAGAGAGAGAGAGGGAGGGAGAGUAAGAGUGAGAGAUGGAGAAAGGGAGAGAGAGGGUAUGAAAGAGUGAGACAGUGACUGAGUGCAAGAGAUAUUGCCGAAGAGAAUUGAUUGGAGUUUCAAUUCUUCUUUAAUAUGUUUGUCAUUACAGGCUCUUGCAACCCGUUCUUUGUGGACCAUCAACUGACAGCUGCCAAGUCCCUCAAAGGUAACUUUGUUUUUAUUGGUCGGAAGUUAAACACUGUAAAUGCCUCUUCCAUUAGAUAGCAGAUAUGAAAGAUGUCUGACACAUAUUGAUGAUGUAUGGACAGUUGGCCUAUUACUAUGUGUGCACCUCUGGAUGUUGAUAUAUUGACAGUAUUUAUGAAGUUAAUGAUUAUGUUGGUAUGUAUGUAUGUAUGGUCUGUGGGCAGUGAAUAAUGAAGAUGGGAGCCGAUCGUUGAUAUGAAUUAUUAAGUGCGUCUGUGUGUGUGUGUCUGUGGUCCCCGUACCGCCUGCAUGUUGAAGAUGGUGGUCUGGGAGAUGAUCAUGGGCCAGUAGCGGGUGUAGCGCUCCAGCUGGGCCUUGGCCCGGUCGGCGGGGAGCCGCCCCCCGGGGUUGGCCGCCGUCUCUGCGACCGGAGUCAGCCGGUUCUCCCUCAUGAACUCCCCAAAGUCCUGAGGAGUCAUCCCUUCAUGAUCAACCAACGGCUGGUAACGGCUAAUCACACUCACACCCGGUGGUCUAAUGCGUCACCUUUAACCUAUUCUUUGUAUACAACAGAGGUAGCCGGGAUAAGACAGUCUGGACGAUGUGUUGACUCUUUGGUGAGAGAGCGAGGGACUCACUGAUGUAGGGCUGUGCGAUUGACCGAAUUUUAUAAAGUAUAUUUAAUUUAUUCAUUAAAUGUCUUAUAGAAAUUGCACAGAAAUUGAACAGCUGGAUACGAUUUGUACAUUAUUUUCGAUCUGAACAUUUUCUAUUUUCAAAUAGUUUUUUUUGGAGAGAAA
Long non-coding RNA from Gadus macrocephalus (Pacific cod), 1031 nucleotides. RefSeq lists it as uncharacterized. Lineage: Eukaryota; Metazoa; Chordata; Actinopteri; Gadiformes; Gadidae. The record is from RefSeq and is a predicted model, not a curated record. The transcript has 2 exons.